GCAAAACUCAAAAAAUAGAUCUCAGUUCGGACUGUAGGCUGCAACUCGCCUACACGAAGUUGGAAUUGCUAGUAAUCGUGGAUCAGCAUGCCACGGUGAAUACGUUCCCGGGUCUUGUACACACCGCCCGUCACACCAUGGGAGCUGGUAACACCCGAAGUCAGUAGUCUAACCGCAAGGAGGACGCUGCCGAAGGUGGGAUUAGCGGCUGGGGUGAAGUCGUAACAAGGUACC
Molecule: ribosomal RNA, 234 nt
Filed under: uncultured bacterium
Lineage: Bacteria
Description: partial 16S ribosomal RNA
Rfam family: Bacterial small subunit ribosomal RNA
Source: RNAcentral